AAGCUGUGAUGGUUAGAAAGUGAAAUUUCCUCUUGUGCUUCCAGAGACACUGUUUCCUUCCUCAGUUGCGGCAAAAAACACACAAAAAAAUCUGGUGCAGAAAUGCCCAUAAAUAUGGAAGAUACCCAUCUGGUACUUCCAGUGUUAUUACUGCUCCUCACAUUAGAGGUGAUUCUGUCCACACAUCAGGGACUGAAACUGCAUUCUGGGGCAUGUGAGUGUUGUUCACAGAGCAAAGUCCAAAGUGUAACAGUGUCCACCUGUUUUUAGAUGUUGUGUCUUUUCUAUUUCUACACGUGGUUAAUAUAAGAGACGAGACUUGUGGGUGUGAAGGAGGGUGACGGUUAUUUUUUAAGGCACCUCUGAUAAAUCUGACAGCUCAACCAUGGAAGUAACAAGACAUGUGAACACUGUGAACACAUAGUGGUUACUUGCAUAAUCUUUAAUGAUUCAUGAUUCCUUCAACUAAAGAUUUCAGCCUUUUCUGGAAGGGUGUUUAUUUAGCUGAAUAUAUAAAUAAAGACUAAUUAAUGCUGCGUUUGAGUAAAGUAAAGUGAGCUGCUCUGUAGUAAAGUGUUUGUUACAGAACAUUAGCAGUGAACAGAUUCUGAAGUGAGUCUGAGAACAUGCAAAGGCCUUUGACCAUAAACGGAUGUUCACUCAUUCAACAGCCAUGAGUCAGCAUGAGCUCAGCAUGAGAACUCCUGUGUUUUCGGUGAAGAGAUUUUCCAGCCGCAGUCGCAGCCGCAGCUUUUAAACCGUCACAGCUGCUGCCGCUCGGCUCAGAGUUCAGAGCUGAGCUGACGCAGACACAAGUCAGAACUGUCAUUUGACUCCCAAAUACUCAGUCUUAUGGUUUAUAUCAAGUUUUCACAGGAAAGCUGUAGCAUGCACAGUAAAGACGGGAGUGAUCACUUUGUGCACCAGUUGCCUCCGUGCAGCCAAGGGGAUAUUGUUGUAAUUCCCCGUGUCUGCCAACAGGGGUCGUUAUUGCUCACUGAUUUCCCAUUACUGCCCCUUUUUAAUAGUCAGAUGAGGGUGAUUACCUGUUGGUCUUGAUUACAGGAGUUGGCAGCACGCACGUGAGUCUCCAACCGUAGGUAGCGAGAGACUGGAGCAGGGGAACAUAGUCAGCCUUCACCUGCAGCCCCUGUGAGGAACAAACAAGACGUCAGCAGCAGCCUGGAACCAAACACUCACCAUCUUCAAUAUGCAUGUGCACUGUGGAGCGGAGUGCGGUCACAACCGUUAAAUACAAGCAACAGCGUAUGAGAUGCAAUCAGGCUUCAGCAUCACUCGGAUCUCAUUUAAAGAAGCGUUUCCUCUCCGACUCGAUGCUUCUACUCGAGGUGUGUGCUCAGCCUGAGAGGUUGUUUUCAACAACGAUGACCGACGGAAAGAAUAGAAAGAAAGAAUAGAAAGAAAUAAACCUGUGAUGUGAAUCUGCUGCAGCUGAAACUCCCGGGUGGCCACGAGUCAACAUGGCAACCGGGUCCAUUAAUGACAAGUCAGUGAGUCCUUGAGUAAACGGGUCGCUCAUGUGAAACACUUGUGUUAUUGGUGUUUGUGACUUUCAGGCCCCAGAGUCUCAAAUGAAGAAUAGAUGGAGGAGUGAACUUUUAAAUGUUUAUCUUGAUUUGUGGGAGAAAAAGUUGUUCAAAAGGAAAUACACACCUGUAAUUAUCAGAACACAACCAUACUUGUUGUGUAUGAGGGAGAGGAAGUGUGUGUGUUGGAGUGUGUGUGUGUGUGUGUGGGUGUGUGUGGUUUAGUCAUCUGUAGAAGCUGUUAAGCCACAACACGUGUCAGUCUAGUCCCGACAACAUUUGCAUUCACACGCACAAGAAAUGUCAAAAAAACAAACCGUCACAUAGAAGCAAUACAAAAAGAAUGUAUGUAUUUGAAAAGAAGAGAGUGAAAUAAAAUUGACAUGAACUCCAGACCGUUGUCCUCGGUGCUGCAGAGCGAAUUCUGAUCCUAGACCAGCAAACCACCGAGAAUAUUCACAGGCAGCUCAUCGACCUCUGAAGAGCAGAGGCGACACCUGCACGCUCCACAUUUAGCCUCCACUGUUCUGAGAAGUGUGAAAACUAAUUAAAGCUGCACCCGCCAAAGGUUUCAUAUAAUGAACACCCACCAUCAUCUGCCUCCAUCGCACUCAGAUCCCGACCCUUCCUCCCCUCCAAUAGCUGCUACUGCUACUGUACUGCAGAGCUUCUCCUUCCACUGAUUCUGAUUCUGCAGCUGGAUCCAGUCGCAAGGCAACAGAGAGAAUUGAAAAGUGAGAACCUUUUCUGAGACUGAGCGACUGAUCAGCAUGCAGCGCUCACUGUCUGCCGUGAGACCGACUUCCAAUCAAAACACUUGAACCCACUCCACCGCCUCGUUUUCUCUUCCACAGAUUUGUAUUGACCGAGUUGACGGCGCGUGCACAAACAGACCUGAAGCCGUCGAGCAUUAACUCGUGGGUUUGCUAAUCGUUGGAAUACGAGCCUGUUAUUUACACAAGCUCUACUUUCUCAGUUCCAACAGGGAGCGGCGCAUCUACAUUUUUUCGGAGGAGAGUUUAUGUUGGAACAACUCCCAGAAACACGCUCUCGCACUCAGAGGCUUCCCGGAAAGUAAAUUGAGAAAUGAUUUUUUUUCUGUAAUGGCUUUGCUGUUCUCUGGAGUAGGUGAGAGUUAAUCACAGCUCCCGCAGAGGGGGCUCGCUGCUCCCCCGACUUAUUAUGCAGGGCCACCUCGCUGCAUCAGCACUCCUGCAUCAGCAACCGGAGAGGCUCAAAAACAAGAAGGUAAUCACCUCGGCCGUCUCUGCCGAUGUUAUCUGAGACACUUUACAGAGGGAUCACACAGUGAGAAGACGGAGGAGGUGUGUUCGAACCGUCUUCACACAGUUUAACAGGUUUGUACCUUGAGCCAAACACAGAGUUAAAGAGCAGGAGGGAGAAAAACAUGUUUUCUCAGGUGAUAAGUAAAACAAAAAACUGCUCAUGCAACUACCUUAAAAUAGAAGCUUCAGAAAUUAGUUUGAUGGUUGAACUUCGGAUAAGCUCCUGAAACUUUCCAGAGGGGCUGAAUGUGAGAAUGCAACUGACAGUGUGAGUGUAACUGACUGAUAGUUGCAGCUGACAUUUUUUAAGAGUAACAACAACCAGAGUUUAUCUCCAAUAUUCAGCGUGGAAGGUUUUAAAAUAUGAGGAAUUCUAAGAAGAGUUUGGAGCCCAAUAGAAAUAAUCUCCACCUGUGGCUGCAGAGGGCGCUGUUGCUCAGUAAAAAGUUGCCCAGUGUUGCUUUAAUAUUUUUACAGAUUAACCUGCUCUUUUUUUUUUUAAUCAUUUUCAGAAAUAUAAGACUUAAACUCUUGUCGUCCGGAGGAGGGAGCAGCUGCAGGUGGACGUAGAGUUCAUAGUUCCCUCUGGGAGUCAGCUCCACAAAAAACAAAACGCCAUUAUUUUUCUAUCAAGCUCCUCCAUCAGCUCUGCAGGAAAGACAUAACAAGCCGUAAAUCGGUCUUUUCAGCGGCUCAGGCUGUGUGUUCCAGACUCGUGGGGUCGACGGGUCCAGUAACAAUGCAGCAAACACCUGAGACGUCCUGAUAGGCUUGCUCAGCCUUCAGCGUGUUGUCACAGCAACAGAGAGCAUUGUAAUUGACCAUUUAAAAAAAAAAAAUCACAGAUAAAUAUUUCAUAUUCGUCCUAUUUCUUUACAUAUAUUCCUCGCAGCUAAAUCCGCUCUCUUUUGUGUUCCGAUUACUCAUCAUGGAUUUUUUUUCAAAACCUUUCGCCAGCUUAAAAAAAACAAGGUUCAUUUUUAUUUCUAAAUGUUUAUCAGGUUAUUGCAGACGUUUAAUUAUAUAUUUACUAUUAAACUUUACUUUCCCUGUAAGAUCCACAAAUGACUAAUUGUUAGUAUUAGUCAUUUAUAUAUAUUUUAUUUAUUUGUUGGCAGCGUUUACUGGUUCACAUUCAAACUUCUCUCUCCUCUGGAUUACGACCAAAUGUACUGCAGGCAUUCAUGGUCCUCAGAAGAUGCACCCUCCUAACUUUUGUGCUCCCCUAACUUUUCCACUGGUUUCAGACUGGUACCGGUGGACCUUUGGAGUUCAGAGGGAAACAGCUCCACACUUCAGGUCUGCUGUAAUAGUUGCAGCAGACAUUCAGGUUCCCACACGAUGUAAUAACUUUGAUCCCCUCGACUUUCAUCCGUCAUCCUCAGCAGGUUAACUGAGAUGACUCUUUUAACCACAACCUACUUUAGAGACGAGGGGAGCGAGGGGAGCGCGAGACAAAGAGAAGACAGUUUCUCUUAUAACCUCAGUUCACACUCAGCUGAAUGUAAACUGCAGGUGCACCACAGUGGCUCUUUCCAGACGUCCCCCUGGCCUGGACCCAUAUGAGACUGAAACUCUUUAAGGUCCUGCACGAUGUAGAAGCUCAGCAGCAGUGGGGGAGGAAGAACUCAGACUCUUUACUGGAGAAGAAGAACCAAUAAAACUAUGUGAAAAUACUCAAGUAGAAGAGAAAGUGUGUGAAAUCAUAAAUCUUUGAGUUUAAAUAUGCAAAAUUCACAUUCAAUCAUUUUAAUUUGAAAUACUGUGAUAUAGGGUUUGAGAUUGUCACAGAUUUUAAGGCAAAACAAAGGUUCUGCAACACAUUUGCAUUAUUGUCCUUUGUUCUGUUGUAUAACCUUUGCUUUUUUGUAAAAUAAUGCACCAUGUUAGUACUUUAUCAUCAAAUCAAAUGGUAAAAAACAGGGUCCCUGAAGUCUAAAAGGGAAACAAACUUUUGGUGGAAGUUGACCAUUUGAUUGAGAUCUUAAAUUGUGGGAACCAGUGGGAUAAAUUCCAAUUCUAAUCCAGUAUGAAAUCUUUCAAUCUCAAUCUGCACAAGGUGCGACAUCCUUUGUCCUCAUGCCUCGACUAGAGCGAGAGGAAACUACCCAAAAAAACAGGGUGGGGAAAUAGAUUCAUGUAAAGUACUUGCGUAAAUACAGGAAGUCUCUUGUCACCACUGAUGCUUAAACACUCAAACAGGCCCCGUUAAGUCAAAUCUGUAAGUUACGAGCUAUUAUUUUCUACCUCGUAAACAACUGCAGCCUGUAAACGCCGCCCUCCUGCUCUGCAGUUAUCAGCAUCGUCUUCACGGCGUCUGACAGAGCGGGCGCGAUCUCUCACUUGCACUUGGACGGUGCAAAUUACCCUGCCUCUAUCUAGGUCACCUCUUCUCUCACCUCAGCCAGGGAGGACAGAGAUAUCACGGACAGGCAGCGUGCACGCUAAGGACCAGCUCUGUGCACCAACACGCAGGCCACAGCGUGCACACGGGCACGCUACACAACAGAACACAACACUGAGUCGACACUUUCUCUCUUUACUGCACUUUUCUCCCGGUGCGUCUUUCGGGUUGUGAGCUGUGGAGAUCAAGGAGCGAGCGAGCGAGUGCGGCUGCGACACCUUCAUCAAACUGCUUGAAGAGGCUCAGAGAAACAUUUUACUCAGUGACAAUCAGGCUGCGACUUCAACAGGAAUCUCAAAAAAAACAUGUGCAGAUAGAAACGUGCCCAAAAAGAAGGACAAAGAGAAUGAAGCAACCAUUAAAUCUGUAUCGAUACGCUGAAGGAUCCAUGUAAAAGC
Molecule: long non-coding RNA, 5635 nt
Organism: Pleuronectes platessa (European plaice)
Lineage: Eukaryota; Metazoa; Chordata; Actinopteri; Pleuronectiformes; Pleuronectidae
Exons: 3
Source: RefSeq, a predicted model, not a curated record